RNA transcript from Otolemur garnettii (small-eared galago), 2450 nucleotides. It is a transcript of the gene named malic enzyme 3, with no coding region annotated. The transcript has 15 exons. Lineage: Eukaryota; Metazoa; Chordata; Mammalia; Primates; Galagidae. The record is from RefSeq and is a predicted model, not a curated record.
CCCCUCUUGUGCAUUCAGUCUCAUCAAGCUCCAUCUGAGCUUCAUCUUGUCACUGCGGACAACCACGUGCGCGCAGUUAAGAGGCGCCCCACGCGCGUCCUCCGGGAAGCCAGGCACUGAGAACAAAGGUUUGGGGAUCGCUCUUUCAAGAACGCACCAGUCCCGCGAGCUCGCGGCGGCGGUUGCGGUGCAGCCAUUGGCGGACCACAGACCACAGCGCCUCGCCCCGCCUGCUCCGCAGAGGGAUCGCGUCCGCAUCAGCUCCCAGGCCAGCGCAGGUCUGCGCAAGGACCAUGGGCGCCGCGCUGGGCUCAGGUCCGCGGCUGGCUCUCCGGUCCGGCCGGGCCUGCGGCGCCCUCCCCCGCUGGGCACCCUCCGAGCCAGCCCGAGACUACCACUCCAAGGCCAGCUCGGCGCGCCCUGUGCCCCUGAAGAAACGCGGAUACGAUGUCACCAGGAACCCGCAUCUCAACAAGGGCAUGGCCUUUACACUUGAGGAAAGGAUGCAGCUUGGAAUCCAUGGCCUUAUCCCUCCCUGCUUCCUGAGCCAGGACGUCCAGCUCCUCCGGAUUAUGAGAUACUAUGAACGGCAGCAGAGCGACCUGGACAAGUACAUCAUUCUCAUGACGCUCCAAGACCGGAACGAGAAGCUCUUCUACCGAGUGCUGACCUCGGACGUGGAGAAGUUCCUGCCGAUCGUGUACACGCCCACCGUGGGGCUGGCCUGUCAGCACUACGGCCUGACCUUCCGCCGGCCCCGGGGGCUCUUCAUCACCAUCCAUGACAAAGGCCACAUUGCGACAAUGCUGAACUCCUGGCCAGAAGACAAUAUUAAGGCUGUGGUGGUGACUGACGGGGAGCGCAUCCUGGGCUUGGGGGACCUGGGCUGCUACGGCAUGGGCAUCCCUGUGGGCAAGCUGGCCCUGUACACGGCGUGUGGAGGGGUGAACCCACAGCAGUGCCUCCCCGUCCUGCUGGACGUCGGCACCAACAACGAGGAGCUGCUCAGAGACCCUCUGUACAUUGGCCUGAAACACCAGCGUGUGCGCGGGAAGGAGUACGAUGACUUGCUGGACGAGUUCAUGCAGGCUGUGACAGACAAGUUUGGGAUAAACUGCCUCGUCCAGUUUGAAGACUUUGCCAAUGCCAACGCCUUCCGCCUGCUCAACAAAUACCGCAACAAAUACUGCAUGUUCAAUGAUGACAUCCAAGGCACAGCCUCUGUUGCUGUGGCAGGGAUCCUGGCUGCUCUGCGAAUCACCAAGAAUAAGCUCUCUAACCACGUAUUUGUUUUCCAAGGUGCAGGUGAGGCAGCCAUGGGCAUUGCCCACCUCCUUGUUAUGGCCCUAGAGAAAGAAGGCGUGCCAAAGGCAGAAGCCAUGAGGAAGAUCUGGAUGGUGGACUCCAAGGGGCUCAUUGUCAAGGGGAGGAGUCAUCUGAACCAUGAAAAGGAGAUGUUUGCUCAAGAUCACCCAGAAGUGAACUCCCUGGAGGAGGUGGUGAGGCUGGUGAAGCCCACGGCCAUCAUAGGUGUUGCUGCCAUCGCAGGAGCCUUCACGGAGCAGAUUCUGAAGGACAUGGCCUCCUUCCACGAGCACCCUAUCAUCUUUGCCCUGAGCAACCCCACCAGCAAGGCCGAGUGCACGGCUGAGAAGUGCUACCGGGUCACUGAGGUCAGCAGGGAGUCCUUCCUUCUCCCAGCUGAGAGGAUAUAAUAACAAUGAGUAACCCUAUGAAAGUGAAAAAACAAAAAUCCUCACAUCACUGAUGAACAAACUGAGGUUCGGAAAGAUGAAGUAACUUUCCCAAGUUGACAGAGCUAAUAAGGAGUGGAACUUGCCUUCAAAUCCAGGGCCGUGGCAUUUUUGCAAGUGGAAGUCCGUUUAAGAGUGUAACUCUGGAAGAUGGCAGGACCUUCAUUCCUGGACAAGGAAAUAAUGCUUACGUGUUUCCUGGGGUGGCACUGGGAGUCAUUGCUGGUGGGAUCCGGCACAUCCCAGAUGAGAUCUUCCUCCUAACAGCAGAGCAAAUUGCCCAGGAGGUAUCUGAGCAGCAUCUGUCCCAGGGGAGACUGUACCCACCACUCAGCACCAUCCGAGAUGUGUCUCUGAGAAUUGCUGUCAAAGUCCUUGACUACGCGUACAAACACAACCUGGCUUCCUACUACCCAGAGCCCAAGGACAAGGAGGCUUUUGUACGAUCCCUGGUCUACACUCCAGACUAUGACUCCUUUACACUGGACAGCUACAGUUGGCCCAAGGAAGCCAUGAAUGUUCAGACAGUCUGAUGCAGGGUCAGGGGCUGGUAUGCGGCUGGAUGAAGCCCAAAUUACACCCACAAUAUAAAUGGGUUCCAAAAUGGCCAUCUUUGUCACUGUGUUUUUUACUUUGAACUUUCUGAUGUGAGGGGAGAUGACAAGGCAUACUGUGAAUGACAGCCUUGUCCCUGAA